GACGAACGCUGGCGGCGUGCUUAACACAUGCAAGUCGAACGGAAAGGCCCCCUUGUGGGGUACUCGAGUGGCGAACGGGUGAGUAACACGUGAGUAACCUACCCUUGACUUUGGGAUAACUUCAGGAAACUGGGGCUAAUACCGGAUAGGAGCUCCUGCUGCAUGGUGGGGGUUGGAAAGUUUCGGCGGUUGGGGAUGGGCUCGCGGCCUAUCAGCUUGUUGGUGGGGUAGUGGCUCACCAAGGCUUUGACGGGUAGCCGGCCUGAGAGGGUGACCGGCCACAUGAGGACUGAGAUACGGCCCAGACUCCAACGGGAGGCAGCAGUGGGGAAUAUUGCACAAUGGGCGGAAGCCUGAGGCGGCAACGCCGCGUGCGGGAUGACGGCCUGCGGGUUGUAAACCGCUUUCGCCUGUGACGAAGCGUGAGUGACGGUAAUGGGUAAAGAAGCACCGGCUAACUACGUG
This 465-nucleotide ribosomal RNA is filed under the name uncultured bacterium. RNAcentral's name for it is "partial 16S ribosomal RNA". It matches the Rfam family "Bacterial small subunit ribosomal RNA", at positions 28 to 507 of the family's 1533-position model. The record is from RNAcentral.